RNAcentral lists this unclassified non-coding RNA (229 nucleotides) under Hevea brasiliensis (rubber tree). Lineage: Eukaryota; Viridiplantae; Streptophyta; Magnoliopsida; Malpighiales; Euphorbiaceae. The record is from RNAcentral.
CCCCGGAUAGAAGGAUCUGAAUCUUCAGGUAAGUACCGGAUGAACUGGCGUAAAAUAUUGCAGAAGUAGAUGAGGAGAGCAAGAAAACAUGCAAUCCCACAUAUGAGGAAAAGCCCCUGAAAGCUUUGUAACUGCAGCUGUUCUGAGCCAGACUCAGAGCUCUGGGAAUUGCAGACUUUUCUUGUCAGCCACUUGUCAUUAAUCUUUUGAAGAUCACCAUUUUCAGAUA